GACGAACCGUGCGAACGUUGUUCGGAAUAACUGGGCUUAAAGGGCGCGUAGGCGGGCUGCCAAGUUCGGGGUGAAAUCCUCCCGCUCAACGGGAGAACUGCCCCGAAUACUGGCGGUCUCGAGGGAGGUAGGGGCGUGCGGAACUAUGGGUGGAGCGGUGAAAUGCGCAGAUAUCGGGAGGAACACCAAUUGCGAAGGCAGCUCGCUGGGACGUCACUGACGCUGAGACGCGAAAGCGUGGGGAGCAAACAGG
This 253-nucleotide ribosomal RNA is filed under the name uncultured bacterium. Its description in RNAcentral is "partial 16S ribosomal RNA". It matches the Rfam family "Bacterial small subunit ribosomal RNA", at positions 524 to 776 of the family's 1533-position model. The record is from RNAcentral.